RNAcentral lists this ribosomal RNA (230 nucleotides) under uncultured bacterium. Its description in RNAcentral is "partial 16S ribosomal RNA". It matches the Rfam family "Bacterial small subunit ribosomal RNA", at positions 563 to 791 of the family's 1533-position model. The record is from RNAcentral.
AAGCGUGCGCAGGCGGUUGUGUAAGUCAGAUGUGAAAUCCCCGGGCUCAACCUGGGAAUUGCAUUUGAGACUGCACGGCUAGAGUGUGUCAGAGGGGGGUAGAAUUCCACGUGUAGCAGUGAAAUGCGUAGAUAUGUGGAGGAAUACCGAUGGCGAAGGCACGCCCCCUGGGAUAACACUGACGCUCAUGCACGAAAGCGUGGGGAGCAAACAGGAUUAGAUACCCCAGU